GCGGACAUGGUGCACGGUGCACCACUGCAUUCUGUUAUUGAGUUAUCAAUCCAAAAUUGAAUUGCAAGCAGUUUGACGGGGUUCGACUCCCCGUGUCCGCC
Molecule: non-coding RNA, 101 nt
Organism: Mycena latifolia
Lineage: Eukaryota; Fungi; Basidiomycota; Agaricomycetes; Agaricales; Mycenaceae
Source: the annotation of a GenBank genome assembly